This 934-nucleotide long non-coding RNA is filed under the name Spirodela polyrhiza (greater duckweed). RNAcentral's name for it is "long non-coding RNA (SPOL_LNC002266)". The record is from RNAcentral. Lineage: Eukaryota; Viridiplantae; Streptophyta; Magnoliopsida; Alismatales; Araceae.
CGGGGAUCCAUCAUGGCGGUGAAUUUAGAGCUCCGCGGAGGGAACCUCUUCACCCAGUCGAGGAGCCGCUGCUCCGGCUUGGGGCGGUUCUUGUCCAGCGCCCGCCGGCCGGUGAGGAUCUCGAAGAGGACGACGCCGAAGGCCCAGAGGUCGCUCUUCGUCGUCAGGUGCCCCGUCUCGAUGUACUCCGGGGCUGCGUACCCGUGGGUCCCCAUCACCUGCAGAAUUAGGGUUUCACUAAUGCCGCGUUCCACUGUUCAGGAAGAGGAAGGACCAGAUCUGAUGAUGCAGCAGCCACGAUGUCAUCUACUUCCUCGAGAGGGUCUGGAAACCAGCCGCAGCCUGGCCACCAGAGAUCGCUUAUGCUUCUAUUCCGGAACCAGAGGAGGAGAAGCCAAAGAGGGCAGGCAGGGAAGGUCCUCUCCCCUUCCAUUUCAAGCAAAGAAAAAAACCCUAAUCAGGGAAAUCGACAGCUCUGCCCCAAGCUCCAACGCCUCCAUCCCCUGAAAGGAAAAAAACCUCCCUUCCCCUCACUUCUCUUCCACAUUUUGAAUGGCAACUUCUCUCUGUUCCAGGCUAGGCAGCCCUUUUUUCUAGGGUUCUUCCUAUUUCUAGGGUUUCCAUCCCUCUGAAAAACAAAAAAGCCCUUCCCCUCAAUUCUAUUCCUCAUUAUGCUUGACAACUUCUUUUUGUUUUAGACAAGACGGCCAUCCCUAGGGUUCUCCCUAGUUCUAGGGUUUUCACUCUGAAUAAAGAAAAAAAAAACCCUUCCCUCAAUCCUCUUCCUCGUCAUACCAGAGAAUUCCUUUCUGUUCCAAGCUAGGCUGCCCUCUCCAGGGUUCUUCCUGGUUCUAGGGAGCUCAUCCCACUGAAAAGACAGCCCUUCCCCUCAAUUAUCUUCCUCAUUAUGCUUGAGAGGUUCUUUCUGGNNNNN